CCUACGGGUGGCAGCAGUGAGGAAUAUUGGUCAAUGGACGAGAGUCUGAACCAGCCAAGUAGCGUGAAGGAUGACUGCCCUAUGGGUUGUAAACUUCUUUUAUAUGAGAAUAAAACGUUCCACGUGUGGGAUUUUGUAUGUACCAUAUGAAUAAGGAUCGGCUAACUCCGUGCCAGCAGCCGCGGUAAUACGGAGGAUCCGAGCGUUAUCCGGAUUUAUUGGGUUUAAAGGGAGCGUAGGUGGAUUGUUAAGUCAGUUGUGAAAGUUUGCGGCUCAACCGUAAAAUUGCAGUUGAAACUGGCAGUCUUGAGUACAGUAGAGGUGGGCGGAAUUCGUGGUGUAGCGGUGAAAUGCUUAGAUAUCACGAAGAACUCCGAUUGCGAAGGCAGUUCACUGGACUGCAACUGACACUGAGGCUCGAAAGUGUGGGUAUCAAACAGGAUUAGAUACCCCUGUAGUC
Molecule: ribosomal RNA, 460 nt
Filed under: uncultured bacterium
Lineage: Bacteria
Description: partial 16S ribosomal RNA
Rfam family: Bacterial small subunit ribosomal RNA
Source: RNAcentral